GACGAACGCUGGCGGCGUGCUUAACACAUGCAAGUCGAACGGUGAACCUCUUCGGAGGGGAUCAGUGGCGAACGGGUGAGUAACACGUGGGCAACCUGCCCCCGGCUCUGGGAUAACUCCAAGAAAUUGGGGCUAAUACCGGAAGUUCACCGCUUCCCGCAUGGGGGGUGGUGGAAAGGGUUUCCGGCUGGGGAUGGGCCCGCGGCCUAUCAGCUUGGUGGUGGGGUAGUGGCCUACCAAGGCGACGACGGGUAGCCCGCCUGAGAGGGUGACCGGCCACACUGCGCCUGCGACACGGCCCAGACUCCUACGGGACGCAGCAGGGGGGAAUAUUGCGCAACGGGCGGACGCCUGACGCAGCGACGCCGCGUUGGGGAUGCCGGCCUUCGGGUUGUAAACCUCUUUCAGCAGGGACGUAGCGCAAGUGACGGUACCUGCAGAAGAAGCACCGGCCAACUACGUG
Molecule: ribosomal RNA, 463 nt
Filed under: uncultured bacterium
Lineage: Bacteria
Description: partial 16S ribosomal RNA
Rfam family: Bacterial small subunit ribosomal RNA
Source: RNAcentral